RNAcentral lists this ribosomal RNA (218 nucleotides) under Campeiostachys nutans. RNAcentral describes it as "Elymus nutans partial small subunit ribosomal RNA". The stretch from base 39 to 218 matches the Rfam family "Eukaryotic small subunit ribosomal RNA", at positions 684 to 864 of the family's 1831-position model. The record is from RNAcentral. Lineage: Eukaryota; Viridiplantae; Streptophyta; Magnoliopsida; Poales; Poaceae.
GGAUUCUACCGUUGGUCGGGCUAACAAGUCUGUACUGGUGUGUAGAAUUUCUACCUUCUGGGGAACUAUCAUGUUAUUAAUUUGGUGCGCCGGGGAAGCAGGACUGUUACCUUGAAAAAAUUAGAGUGCUUAAAGCAGGCUAUUGCCUGAAUACAUUAGCAUGGAAUAAUGAAAUAGGACGGCAUGGUUCUAUUUUGUUGGUUUCUAGGAUCAUCGUA